GAUGAACGCUGGCGGCGUGCUUAACGCAUGCAAGUCGAACGAUGAAGCCCAGCUUGCUGGGUGGAUUAGUGGCGAACGGGUGAGUAACACGUGAGUAACCUGCCCUUGACUCUGGGAUAAGCCUGGGAAACUGGGUCUAAUACUGGAUAUGACUUCUCAUCGCAUGGUGGGGGGUGGAAAGAUUUAUUGGUCUUGGAUGGACUCGCGGCCUAUCAGCUUGUUGGUGAGGUAAUGGCUCACCAAGGCGACGACGGGUAGCCAGCCUGAGAGGGUGACCGGCCACACUGGGACUGAGACACGGCCCAGACUCCUACGGGAGGCAGCAGUGGGGAAUAUUGCACAAUGGGCGCAAGCCUGAUGCAGCGACGCCGCGUGAGGGAUGACGGCCUUCGGGUUGUAAACCUCUUUCAGUAGGGAAGAAGCGAGAGUGACGGUACCUGCAGAAGAAGCGCCGGCUAACUACGUG
Molecule: ribosomal RNA, 466 nt
Filed under: uncultured bacterium
Lineage: Bacteria
Description: partial 16S ribosomal RNA
Rfam family: Bacterial small subunit ribosomal RNA
Source: RNAcentral